This 216-nucleotide ribosomal RNA is filed under the name Glomeromycotina sp. RNAcentral describes it as "partial small subunit ribosomal RNA". The stretch from base 40 to 216 matches the Rfam family "Eukaryotic small subunit ribosomal RNA", at positions 686 to 864 of the family's 1831-position model. Lineage: Eukaryota; Fungi; Glomeromycota. The record is from RNAcentral.
GGGUCAGUAGGUUGGUCGUGCCACCGGUACGUACUGGUCUCACUGAUUCCUCCUUCCUGAAGAACCGUAAUGCCAUUAAUUUGGUGUUGCGGGGAAACAGGACUGUUACUCUGAAAAAAUUAGAGUAUUUAAAGCAAGCUAACGCUUGAAUACAUUAGCAUGGAAUAAUGAAAUAGGACGAUCGAUCCUAUUUUGUUGGUUUCUAGGAUUGACGUA